Molecule: long non-coding RNA, 1382 nt
Organism: Pogoniulus pusillus (Red-fronted tinkerbird)
Lineage: Eukaryota; Metazoa; Chordata; Aves; Piciformes; Lybiidae
Exons: 3
Source: RefSeq, a predicted model, not a curated record
GGCCGGCAGUUGGAGCCGCGAGGGUAAAAUGGCGGCCGCGGCGGUUGCGGCGGGGCGCGCGGCGGGGGCAGGGCGGGCAGCGCGUUUCCCUGCCCCUUUUCCCGCCUCCCUCCCGCCGGGAGGGAGUCUCCGCCAAUAACGCGUACGCGCCGCUCUGACAGCGACGGAGGUGCGGCCUCCUCUGCUUAAAGCGAGCGGCCUCAGCCGAGGCGUGAUCCGCUCGUCGUCGCUUCGGGACCCUGGGGCAGAGCUGCCUCCGCACCUGCCUCUUCCAGGGUUGCCGGAGGAUGGCCCUAGUGACAGACUCGACGGGUGUGGAGCACUGCCCGGAUACUCCCUCCUGUUUCAUUAUUAGCACGAUAUACUUUGUCCGAGCUGGAGCCGUCCUCCUAGAGUGCAGAGAACGUUUAGGACUUCCGGCCUGAAGACAGAGCCGAGCACACGGCCCACAGCACCACCGGGCGCCUUAUGAGCACGUUGCGGAGCACGGCAGCCGCCGAGUUCAGGCGGGUUUCCAGGUCUUUUGUCUUUGGGUAGUUACUAGCGCUUUCCGCUGACGGGACGGAAGAGUCCUUGGCCAUCUGGUUCCCGCCCAAUCCCGGCCGAGGAGAGGGAGAGCUGCCUCCGGGGCGGACGCGUGUCGGUCCUCCCGAAAAAAGGGGAUUUUUAGGUGCUGCGGUACGGUUCUAUGCAAAUUAAAUUAUUUUUACCCUGGAUAGUUUUCGAUUUAUUCUGCGUAAUACAUGGCUAAUGGCGACUACAGAAUCUGUGAAGAGCUGGAAAUACCACGUCCUGUAAUUAAGACAGUAUCUCGCAAAACAAGUGAAACUUCACAUGAAGAUGCAUAAUUUAUAACGAUUACAACUACCACUUAACUCCGAGGUACACCUAAUUGGAACUCGGGAUCCCUCGGUGAGGCCUGGCGGCUGUUUCUCCGCAGGUCUACAAAGUACAAUGUCAGGUAACUGGUUGGCUCAUCCUUUGUGUUUGAAAGCAAAGCAACAGCUACAUACCUGAGCACGAGCAACAGUGCCACCAGCAACUGAACCAUCUUACCAGCAAAAGAGAAACAGCUUGGACAGUUUUGGACUUUGGUUGGUUGGGGGGUUUUGUUUGGGAUUACUGUGUUUUGUUUUUUUUACAUCUGAACCUCUUUUUGGACUUGCUACUGGUAAAGCACCCAUUUAGAGUGCUCACUUGGGAGACUAUUAAAAUUGUGGUUUCAGGUUAAGCCUGAAAGCAAACUACUCAAUUUAGUGAAGUCAGAGUAGAAUUCACAUGCUAAUUGCAAAGAUUUGAGCUCAUAAAAAAUAAAGGUUGAUGCAAAAAUACUUUAGCCAGAUUCAAUGCUAAAGUGAUGCCACAAAAUGGGUCAUUACUGC